GUGGGGAAUCUUGCGCAAUGGGCGAAAGCCUGACGCAGCCAUGCCGCGUGAAUGAUGAAGGUCUUAGGAUUGUAAAAUUCUUUCACCGGGGACGAUAAUGACGGUACCCGGAGAAGAAGCCCCGGCUAACUUCGUGCCAGCAGCCGCGGUAAUACGAAGGGGGCUAGCGUUGCUCGGAAUUACUGGGCGUAAAGGGCGCGUAGGCGGACAGUUUAGUCAGAGGUGAAAGCCCAGGGCUCAACCUUGGAAUUGCCUUUGAUACUGGCUGUCUUGAGUACGGGGGAGGUGAGUGGAACUCCGAGUGUAGAGGUGAAAUUCGUAGAUAUUCGGAAGAACACCAGUGGCGAAGGCGACUCACUGGCCCGUUACUGACGCUGAGGCGCGAAAGCGUGGGGAGCAAACAGGAUUAGAUACCCUAGUAGUCC
RNAcentral lists this ribosomal RNA (425 nucleotides) under uncultured bacterium. Its description in RNAcentral is "partial 16S ribosomal RNA". It matches the Rfam family "Bacterial small subunit ribosomal RNA", at positions 354 to 796 of the family's 1533-position model. The record is from RNAcentral.